CGCCCGGAACCGCUCAGCCUUAACGUUAACAUCAAGAACACGAUAGAGACCAGUCUGAGGUCCCAAAGUACUAGCAGAAAAUGCAGUUUAUGGCUAUAUUUUCUACUGGCAAGAUAAUCCGUGGAUUACACAAAGUUACCUGCACAAAGAAUCAAGAUAUACAGUAAAAUAGAAUGGAGGAGGAAGUUAAAAAAUUCCCAUACCUUAAUAAUCCCACCACAUAAUUCCCUUUCCUUUUAAUUCUCAUGUUCAUAGAAGUGUGUUGCCCUUCUACUUCCCUAACUCAGUAAAAGAGUGGAAGGAAUGCAGCUCCCUGAUGCAAGUGUUUUAGUAAUCUCAGCUGGAGACAUACAAAGCCCUGACUCCGUGGUUUGGCAGGGCCCACAGCUACAUAGCUCUCUCCUGCUUUAGUGGCCAACAAGGAAGAUUUUAACAGCACGUGAAAAUUUUGUCCAGUGCCUUGGGGUGUCACUAAAGCAUAAGGACACAGUAAAGUGCUUCUAAUCUCUCUGA
Non-coding RNA from Cyanistes caeruleus (blue tit), 513 nucleotides. The record is from RefSeq and is a predicted model, not a curated record. NCBI's taxonomy places the organism in Eukaryota, Metazoa, Chordata, Aves, Passeriformes, Paridae.